RNAcentral lists this ribosomal RNA (253 nucleotides) under uncultured bacterium. RNAcentral describes it as "partial 16S ribosomal RNA". It matches the Rfam family "Bacterial small subunit ribosomal RNA", at positions 524 to 776 of the family's 1533-position model. The record is from RNAcentral.
UACGUAGGGACCGAGCGUUGUCCGGAAUCAUUGGGCGUAAAGAGCGUGUAGGCGGCCACUUAAGUCCUGCGUGAAAUCUUGCGGCUCAACCGCAAGCGGUCGUGGGAAACUGGGUGGCUAGAGUGCGGGAGAGGAGAGUGGAAUUCCUGGUGUAGCGGUGGAAUGCGCAGAUAUCAGGAAGAACACCCGUGGCGAAGGCGGCUCUCUGGAACGCAACUGACGCUGAGGCGCGAAAGCUAGGGGAGCAAACAGG